This 483-nucleotide ribosomal RNA is filed under the name uncultured bacterium. RNAcentral describes it as "partial 16S ribosomal RNA". It matches the Rfam family "Bacterial small subunit ribosomal RNA", at positions 28 to 507 of the family's 1533-position model. The record is from RNAcentral.
GACGAACGCUGGCGGCGUGCUUAACACAUGCAAGUCGAACGCUGAAGCUCAGCUUUUGUUGGGUGGAUGAGUGGCGAACGGGUGAGUAACACGUGAGUAACCUGCCUCCUUCUUUGGGAUAACGCCCGGAAACGGGUGCUAAUACUGGAUAUUCACUGGUCUUCGCAUGGGGGUUGGUGGAAAGGGUUUUUCUGGUGGGGGAUGGGCUCGCGGCCUAUCAGCUUGUUGGUGGGGUGAUGGCCUACCAAGGCUUUGACGGGUAGCCGGCCUGAGAGGGUGACCGGUCACAUUGGGACUGAGAUUCGGCCCAGACUCCGACGGGAGGCAGCAGUGGGGAAUAUUGCACAAUGGGCGCAAGCCUGAUGCAGCGACGCCGCGUGAGGGAUGGAGGCCUUCGGGUUGUGAACCUCUUUCGCUCAUGGUCAAGCCGCAACAAUGGUUGUGGUGAGGGUAGUGGGUAAAGAAGCGCCGGCUAACUACGUG